Molecule: ribosomal RNA, 464 nt
Filed under: uncultured Planctomycetota bacterium
Lineage: Bacteria; Pseudomonadati; Planctomycetota
Description: uncultured planctomycete partial 16S ribosomal RNA
Rfam family: Bacterial small subunit ribosomal RNA
Source: RNAcentral
CCUACGGGCGGCUGCAGUCGAGGAUCUUCUGCAAUGGGCGCAAGCCUGACAGAGCGACGCCGCGUGGGGGAGGAAGGCCUUCGGGUUGUAAACCCCUGUUGCCCGUUAAGAAUCACUCGGUGCGAAUAGCGCUUGGGUGUGACAAAGGCGGGUGAGGAAGCCACAGCUAACUACGUGCCAGCAGCUGCGGUAAGACGUAGGUGGCCAGCGUUGUUCGGAAUCACUGGGCAUAAAGCGCGCGUAGGCGGCCCGGCAAGUCGGGGGUGAAAGCCCUGGGCUCAACCGAGGAAUGGCGCUCGAAACUGCCGAGCUUGAGGGCCGUAGGGGAGAGUGGAAUUCCCGGUGGAGCGGUAAAAUGCGUAGAGAUCGGGAAGAACGCCGGCGGCGAAAGCGACUCUCUGGCCGGUUCCUGACGCUGAGGCGCGAAAGCUAGGGGAGCAAACGGGAUUAGAUCCCCCUGUAGU